UCUUGACGAAAUUUGCAUUUUAUCAGA
Molecule: non-coding RNA, 27 nt
Filed under: Rattus norvegicus (Norway rat)
Lineage: Eukaryota; Metazoa; Chordata; Mammalia; Rodentia; Muridae
Source: RNAcentral